Molecule: non-coding RNA, 45 nt
Organism: Schistosoma curassoni
Lineage: Eukaryota; Metazoa; Platyhelminthes; Trematoda; Strigeidida; Schistosomatidae
Source: Rfam
AUCUAAUUGAUGAAUCCCAAUCAGGACGAAACGUGCGUCCUGGAU